GAGAGUAUAGCUCAGUGGUAGAGCACAUGCUUAGCAUGCACAAGGUCCUGGGUUCAGACCACAGUACCCCCU
This 72-nucleotide transfer RNA is filed under the name Camelus bactrianus (Bactrian camel). It matches the Rfam family "tRNA". From Rfam's summary of the family: Transfer RNA (tRNA) molecules are approximately 80 nucleotides in length. Their secondary structure includes four short double-helical elements and three loops (D, anti-codon, and T loops). Further hydrogen bonds mediate the characteristic L-shaped molecular structure. tRNAs have two regions of fundamental functional importance: the anti-codon, which is responsible for specific mRNA codon recognition, and the 3' end, to which the tRNAs corresponding amino acid is attached (by aminoacyl-tRNA synthetases). tRNAs cope with the degeneracy of the genetic code in two manners: having more than one tRNA (with a specific anti-codon) for a particular amino acid; and 'wobble' base-pairing, i.e. permitting non-standard base-pairing at the 3rd anti-codon position. The record is from Rfam by way of RNAcentral. RNAcentral also lists the same sequence under 2 other names. Lineage: Eukaryota; Metazoa; Chordata; Mammalia; Artiodactyla; Camelidae.